UGUAUUGUAUUCUAAUGUCGUUAGCUGAUCCCAUCUUUGAUAAUGCACUCUGAGGUGACCCAAUACAGAAAAAUAAUAAACUCAAAGCUCAUCAUUUAGUCAUUUAAUACUGUUAGAACAUGUUUUGUAACUCCUAUGAGGGCAUUGAGUACAUUGUCAUGUUUAGUAAAAACAGUAAGAUGCAUUAAUAGUGCAUAAUAGUAGUGAUGUUGCAGUUAUUUGUUAUGAGCUUUAACCACUAAGACAACAAGUCGACCCUGAAACAUCCUUUUAUGCAGAUUCAUGAAACAUCUGGAGAGAAUCUCUUGGUGUUGGUUGUGGUUGUGGAUGUUUGCAUGAAGAUAGAAACUUCCUGUCUCUUAGCAUGAAAAUACAUCAUCAGGACUAAUAUUGUUGGUAGAAUCACACUCUUGAAAGAACUUGAAUAUGUAUGAUGCACAACUAGAUUAACAUUAUCAGUCACAUUUACAGAAAUAUUAAUAUACCACACCUAAAGAAAUAUAAAGAAUGUAAAUUCAAGUCAAAGAUUUGAUUUAUAUCAAACCA
This is a long non-coding RNA of Thunnus maccoyii (southern bluefin tuna), 546 nucleotides long. RefSeq lists it as uncharacterized. The record is from RefSeq and is a predicted model, not a curated record. Lineage: Eukaryota; Metazoa; Chordata; Actinopteri; Scombriformes; Scombridae. The transcript is spliced from 2 exons.